UACGUCAGCGGCAGACGGGUGAGUAACGCGUGGGAACGUACCUUUUGGUUCGGAACAACACAGGGAAACUUGUGCUAAUACCGGAUAAGCCCUUACGGGGAAAGAUUUAUCGCCGAAAGAUCGGCCCGCGUCUGAUUAGCUAGUUGGUGUGGUAAUGGCGCACCAAGGCGACGAUCAGUAGCUGGUCUGAGAGGAUGAUCAGCCACAUUGGGACUGAGACACGGCCCAA
This 229-nucleotide ribosomal RNA is filed under the name uncultured bacterium. Its description in RNAcentral is "partial 16S ribosomal RNA". It matches the Rfam family "Bacterial small subunit ribosomal RNA", at positions 88 to 334 of the family's 1533-position model. The record is from RNAcentral.